GAUGAACGCUGGCGGCGUGCCUAAUACAUGCAAGUCGAGCGAACAGACGAGGAGCUUGCUCCUCUGACGUUAGCGGCGGACGGGUGAGUAACACGUAGAUAACCUACAUAUAAGACUGGGAUAACUUCGGGAAACCGGAGCUAAUACCGGAUAAUAUAUUGAACCGCAUGGUUCAAUAAUGAAAGACGGUUUUGCUGUCACUUAUAGAUGGAUCCGCGCCGCAUUAGCGAGUUGGUAAGGUAACGGCUUACCAAGGAAACGAUGGGUAGCCGACGUGAGAGGGGGGUCGGCCACACGGGAGCGGGGACGCGGACCCGGCUCCUGCGGGAGGCAGCAGUAGGGAAUCGUCCGCAGUGGGCGAAAGCCUGACGGAGCGACGGCGAGUGAGUGAUGAAGGUCUUGGGUGAGUAAAACUCUGUUAUGAGGGGAGAACAAAUGUGUAAGUAGCUAUGGACGUCUUGACGGUACCUGAUCAGAAAGCCACGGCUAACUACGUG
Molecule: ribosomal RNA, 497 nt
Filed under: uncultured bacterium
Lineage: Bacteria
Description: partial 16S ribosomal RNA
Rfam family: Bacterial small subunit ribosomal RNA
Source: RNAcentral